Molecule: long non-coding RNA, 1013 nt
Filed under: Junco hyemalis (dark-eyed junco)
Lineage: Eukaryota; Metazoa; Chordata; Aves; Passeriformes; Passerellidae
Description: lncRNA (ENSJHYG00000002064.1)
Source: RNAcentral
AACCCCAUGAAGAACCUCAACCACCCCACCUGUGCUGCACCACCUCGACCUCGUCCAGCUCCUCGGGCACCUCCAUCCUCUCCAGCCACUGCUCCUUCUCGUCCACCCACACCUCGCAGGCGUGCACCUCGCUGAACAUGCGGUAGACGGCCAGCGCGUCCCGCAGCCACUGCGUCCUCAGCACGGCCACCUCGGCCACCUCUCCGUAGAGCUGCUCCACCUCCACCACGCGGAUCUGGAUGUCCACGCCCUGGCGGCGCUCGGGCGCCAGCAGCGCCAGCUGCGCCCGCAGCCCCAGCACGGCUCCGCGCUGCUUCUCCACCUGCUCCAGCAGAGCUCCGUGCUGCCGCAGCAGCGCCCGGCUCGAGUGCUCGUCGUGGCCGAAGUCGUCGCUGGACACCACGCGGUAGAUGUCCUGCAGCCACGCCACCAGGUCGUCCGUGUCGGCGCUGAACUGGAAGAAGUUCAGCGCGUCCUCCAAGCGCUGCUGGUGGAGCCCCGUGAUCUCCUCCAGCUUCUUCCACCGCAGGCAGACCUCGCGCAUCUUCUCCUGGAUGCCCGCGGAGCCCAAGGACUUCUUGGCCAGGAUCUUCUCGCCUUUCUUCAUGGUCUGGUGGAGCAGAGCGCGGCGGUUGCCCAGCUCGCCCAGCAUGGUCUUGUGCUUGGUGGUCAAGGUGAGGACGCUGCUGAGGUCGCGGCCGCAGCUCCUGGUGGCCAGGAUCUUCUCCUUCUCGCGGAUCCAGGCCUCGGCCUCCUCCAUCUCCUGGAAGAAGGUCCAGAGGUGCCGCGAGUCCUCCAGCUCCUUCCUGCGCUUGGCCGCCAGCUCGCGCAGCUCCUCCAGGCACGCCUGCACGUGGUGGACGCGGUUGCAGAUGAUCUGCGGGUCGCACGGUUGGUAGCCUGGGCCAGGAGAAGACACUCAGGAGGUGGCCAAGGGUCACCGGGCACGGAGGUGUCCGAGGAAGGACCGGACACGACGCUCCGGGCUCUGCUCUGGGCUGGACUCGGAGAUC